Molecule: ribosomal RNA, 274 nt
Filed under: uncultured bacterium
Lineage: Bacteria
Description: partial 16S ribosomal RNA
Rfam family: Bacterial small subunit ribosomal RNA
Source: RNAcentral
AUACGGAGGGCGCAAGCGUUGUUCGGAAUCAUUGGGCGUAAAGCGCGCGUAGGCGGCUUGGAAAGUCGGGUGUGAAAUCCCGGGGCUCAACCCCGGAACUGCACUCGAAACUUCCUAGCUAGAGUCUCGGAGAGGUAGGCGGAAUUCCCGGUGUAGAGGUGAAAUUCGUAGAUAUCGGGAGGAACACCAGUGGCGAAGGCGGCCUACUGGACGAUGACUGACGCUGAGGUGCGAAAGCGUGGGGAGCAAACAGGAUUAGAAACCCUAGUAGUCC